RNAcentral lists this small RNA (57 nucleotides) under Arabidopsis thaliana (thale cress). RNAcentral's name for it is "ATSL293720". The record is from RNAcentral. Lineage: Eukaryota; Viridiplantae; Streptophyta; Magnoliopsida; Brassicales; Brassicaceae.
UUUUUUAAAACAGUUGAUCUAUCCAUGUAGUCCUUCUCUUAUCAAGACAUCAUUCAU